GCCUGGGUGUGGUGGCGUACACCUAUAGUUCCAGCUACCUGGGAGGCUGAGAUGGGAGGAUUACUUGAGCUAUGCCUUUUGGGUGUCUGCACUAAGUUCAGCAUCAAUAUGGUGACCUCCUGGGAGUUUCCGUCAGAAACGGAGCAGGUCCAAACUCCUGGGCUGAUCAGUAAGUAGUGGGAUCGGGCCUGUGAAUAGCCACUGCACUCCAGCCUGGGCAACAUAGUGAGAUCUCGUCUCU
This 241-nucleotide small RNA is filed under the name Mesocricetus auratus (golden hamster). Its description in RNAcentral is "Metazoan signal recognition particle RNA (ENSMAUG00000003920.1)". Lineage: Eukaryota; Metazoa; Chordata; Mammalia; Rodentia; Cricetidae. The record is from RNAcentral.